UACGGGGGGGGCAAGCGUUGUUCGGAUUUACUGGGCGUAAAGGGCGCGUAGGCGGCCAGCACAAGUCAGUUGUGAAAUCUCCGAGCUUAACUCGGAACGGUCAACUGAUACUGUGCGGCUAGAGUGCGGAAGGGGCAACUGGAAUUCUUGGUGUAGCGGUGAGAUGCGUAGAUAUCAAGAGGAACACCUGCGGCGAAGGCGGGUUGCUGGGCCGACACUGACGCUGAGGCGCGAAAGCGUGGGGAGCAAACAGG
Molecule: ribosomal RNA, 254 nt
Filed under: uncultured bacterium
Lineage: Bacteria
Description: partial 16S ribosomal RNA
Rfam family: Bacterial small subunit ribosomal RNA
Source: RNAcentral